CCCACCCCCGCCCGCGAAGGUUUCUGGUCUGAAGUAGCAGAAAUGAGCGCUGGUAGGGGGGUUGCCUAAGAAUCUUGGGGUUUACAGUUCUGACACAUCCUAGACGCUGAGCCAAGGAGGACUGCUGGCACCCUCAUGCUGUGCUGUGUACAGAACACACGAUGCUGAAGGUGGCCAAGUCCUGGAGAGCCAUGGGAGAAAUCGGGAGACAGGGCGAUGUGGCCCCCGUCCUGGCAGCAGCAGAGCAUGAAAGCCCAAGUCUCUGAAGCCAACAGGCCCGACUGUGACAUCCCAACGAGAUGGCACCUUCUGACCAAGUUACCUCCUUCUCAGACAGAUGUCAACUCUAAAAUCAAGCUAAUACAGGUCUUGAGUAACUGUUUUGAGGAUUAAAUUUACGAAGAUCUGCAGCGCACCUAGCAAGUGCUCGAGAGUAACUAUUCACCAGCAUCACUAAUGGUCAGCUGCAAAGGUGACCUCACUGGUAGAAGAACAGAGGAAAUGACUUGGCAUGAAUUUAAUCUGAAGACUCUUGCAGAAUUGCAGCAGUUUCUUGACAGGAGCCUGGAAAAGUCCUGGCAGCUGUGAUAGUAUCUGCUACCCCAAGCCUUGAUAAAUGGAAAAAGGAAAGUAGUAACUUCAGAGUGGAGAAAGGGACAAACACCACCUGAACCAAAUGAUCAAAGUGAUGCCAUUAACAGUGGGACAAAGAGAAACGUGAACAUGCGCCUCCCGAGAGGGGACAACGAGGACAACGCAGCAGCACCACCGUUACGUUCCUGCCAAAAAUGAGUAACAACCUGACUGUGAGGAAACACCAAAUGAAUCCAAAUUGAGAGCCAUUUGACAAAAUAAAUGGCCUGUCUUCAAAAAUGUCAAGAUCACGGAAGCCAAAGAACAACGGAGGAACGAUUCGAGAUUCAGGAGACCAACAGGACAGGAAAAGUCAAUGCAAGGUGUGACUCUGAGCGGAUCCUGGGCCAGAAAAUAACACUUCUUUUUCUUUUGCUUUAAAGACAGUAUUUUUUGUAGUGAGUAAACUGGCAACAAUUUGAAAACAUUUUAAAGAGUAGGAAAACUGGCAAAAUUUGAAAGGUUUGUAGAUAAGACAAUGGUGCUGUUUCAAUGUCAGUUUCCUAAUUGUGGUAACAGUACUGCAUUGCAGUUCCAUAAGGGAAUGUUGUCCUGUGUCGAUGAAAUACACACUUAAGAACUGUUAGCAAUUUGCUGAAAUGGUUCAGAAGAUACCAAUUAUUUACAUAUAUAGAUGGUGGAGGUGGGAAGAGAGAGAGAGAGAGAGAAAGAGAGGAAUACACAAUAAAUCAACCCUGAUAAAAUGUUAACAUUUGCGGACUCUGGGUGAAAUUAUCUGGACAUUCUUUGUAUUAUUGUUUUGCAACUUUUCCCAAGUCUAAGUUAUUUCAAAAUAAGUUUUAAAAAAUUAAAAAGUAUCAAAAUCAAAAUAAGUUUUCCUUUUAGAUGGGGAAAAAAAUAAGUGUAGGAUUAAAAGCGUGUAGGCUAUGUUCAGGGUAGUGAGAAAAAUCUGCAGUAAUUACUUUGAAAUUGAAGUCAGUGGUUACACAGAGUGAUAAUUGGAAGUUGGCACAAUUCCAGGGUGCUGACACUAUCUCCCAAAUUAACCCAACAAACUGGACAGCAGAGCAGGAAAAGGUAUUUUCUUUAUUGAGUAGUCAUAAAUGAGAAGCAAGAACAUUCAAAAUAAUACUGAGCUUCUUUACAAAUAAGGAUUUUUCUCACAAGCUUUAUAAACUUAAAAAAAAUUUUCUGCACUAAAGGCAAUCAUCCUACAAAUAACUACAAGUUAACAAAAAUAGAAGGGACACCUAGUAGUCCCCUGACAUUCACCAUCAGCAGCAGUAGCGUCUCUCCAGUGCUGGCCAUUUCAGAGAGGUGGCAUUUUCCAUGAUGACCAGAAAUUAACUAGACUAGCUAUAGGGGCUACGAGACAUUACAAAGUGUGCAAUUACUCAGGAACAUGCACAUGUAGAGGUAAAUUGUGGAACCAGGUAUGUGGUGGUAAUGUGGACAAGUUUCCCAACAGCAGCCGAAAGCCUGGAUUAAUCUUUGUUUUGGAGUUGUCCUGUGUUGGGUGGGACGGUUAGCGGGGUCUCGGGCUUCCACACACUAGAUGCCAUAGCACUCCCUCCCAGCUGUGACAACCAAGUAUGUCUCCAGACAUUGCCGAAUAUGCCCGGGGGCAAUACUGCCCCGGUUGAGAAUCGCACCUCUAAGGUCCCUCCUACCAGCAAAUUUCUCUGAGUCUGUGUUGAGAAAAUGAAAUGCUAUGGAAUUUCAGAGGGAGAACUAAGGCAGUGAGAGGAGGAUUUUGGGAGCAGGGAGGAUUUGAGAUAAGUCUUGGGAUAAAAUAAAUCAAAUAGGGGUAUAGGAAAUGGUGAGCUUUCCAGAAGUAGGGAUGUCACAAUUUAAGGAGUGUACACAGGAAAGAACAGACCGCCACAGGACUGUUAGGAAGCCAGCGGGCCGGGCAGAGUCUUCACUAGUAGAUAAGGCAAGAAGCACUUGUCAUGUUAUAAUGUGUUGAAGGAAUUACAAAAUUUUUUUUUUUUUUUGAGUUUUG
This 2599-nucleotide long non-coding RNA is filed under the name Homo sapiens (human). RNAcentral's name for it is "HSALNT0374815". The record is from RNAcentral. Lineage: Eukaryota; Metazoa; Chordata; Mammalia; Primates; Hominidae.